CAAUAGCGUAUAUUUAAGUUGUUGCAGUUAAAAAGCUCGUAGUUGGAUUUCGGGUGGGACGCAGCGGUCUCGCAUUGCGUUUGUACUGCUGCAGCCCUCCUUCUUGCCGGGGGCGGCCUCUCGGACUCCACUGUCUGGGGGUCAGAAUCGGCGAUGUUACUUUGAGUAAAUUAGAGUGUUCAAAGCAAGCUUACGCUCUGAAUAUAAUAGCAUGGGAUAACACGACAGGACUCUGGCCUAUCGUGUUGGUCUAUAGGACCAGAGUAAUGAUUAAGAGGGACAGUCGGGGGCAUUCGUAUUCCGUUGUCAGAGGUGAAAUUCUUGGAUUUACGGAAGACGAACAUCUGCGAAAGCAUUUGCCAAGGAUGUUUUCAUUGA
Molecule: ribosomal RNA, 378 nt
Filed under: uncultured eukaryote
Lineage: Eukaryota
Description: partial 18S ribosomal RNA
Rfam family: Eukaryotic small subunit ribosomal RNA
Source: RNAcentral